This 599-nucleotide ribosomal RNA is filed under the name uncultured Ascomycota. RNAcentral describes it as "LSU rRNA". It matches the Rfam family "Eukaryotic large subunit ribosomal RNA", at positions 399 to 1020 of the family's 3401-position model. The record is from RNAcentral. Lineage: Eukaryota; Fungi; Ascomycota.
GUGAAAUUGUUGAAAGGGAAGCGCUUGCAACCAGACCUGCCUGCAGUUGCUCAUCCGGGCUUUUGCCCGGUGCACUCUUCUGCUGUCAGGCCAGCAUCAGUUCGGGCGGUCGGAUAAAGGCUUCGGGAAUGUAGCUCCUCUCGAGGAGUGUUAUAGCCCGUUGCGAAAUGCGGCCAGCCUGAACUGAGGUCCGCGCUUCGGCUAGGAUGCUGGCGUAAUGGUUGUAAGCGGCCCGUCUUGAAACACGGACCAAGGAGUCUAACAUCUGUGCGAGUGUUUGGGUGUCAAACCCGUACGCGUAAUGAAAGUGAACGGAGGCGGGAACCCCUCGGGGUGCACCGUCGACCGAUCCUGAUGUCUUCGGAUGGAUUUGAGUAAGAGCAUAGCUGUUGGGACCCGAAAGAUGGUGAACUAUGCCUGAAUAGGGUGAAGCCAGAGGAAACUCUGGUGGAGGCUCGCAGCGGUUCUGACGUGCAAAUCGAUCGUCAAAUUUGGGCAUAGGGGCGAAAGACUAAUCGAACUAUCUAGUAGCUGGUUCCUGCCGAAGUUUCCCUCAGGAUAGCAGUAACGUUUUCAGUUUUAUGAGGUAAAGCGAAUGA